Molecule: ribosomal RNA, 497 nt
Filed under: uncultured bacterium
Lineage: Bacteria
Description: partial 16S ribosomal RNA
Rfam family: Bacterial small subunit ribosomal RNA
Source: RNAcentral
GACGAACGCUGGCGGCGUGCCUAAUACAUGCAAGUUGAGCGAUGAAGAUUGGUGCUUGCACCAAUUUGAAGAGCAGCGAACGGGUGAGUAACGCGUGGGGAAUCUGCCUUUGAGCGGGGGACAACAUUUGGAAACGAAUGCUAAUACCGCAUAACAACUUUAAACAUAAGUUUUAAGUUUGAAAGAUGCAAUUGCAUCACUCAAAGAUGAUCCCGCGUUGUAUUAGCUAGUUGGUGAGGAAAAGGCUCACCAAGGCGAUGAUACAUAGCCGACCUGAGAGGGUGAUCGGCCACAUUGGGACUGAGACACGGCCCAAACUCCUACGGGAGGCAGCAGUAGGGAAUCUUCGGCAAUGGACGAAAGUCUGACCGAGCAACGCCGCGUGAGUGAAGAAGGUUUUCGGAUCGUAAAACUCUGUUGGUAGAGAAGAACGUUGGUGAGAGUGGAAAGCUCAUCAAGUGACGGUAACUACCCAGAAAGGGACGGCUAACUACGUG